AGCAGCAUGGCGCAGUCUGGAAGCGCGCGGGGCCCAUAUUCUCACGUAAUACGCUACCCCGAGGUCACUCGAUCGAAACGAGUUGCUGCUA
Molecule: non-coding RNA, 91 nt
Organism: Mycena polygramma
Lineage: Eukaryota; Fungi; Basidiomycota; Agaricomycetes; Agaricales; Mycenaceae
Source: the annotation of a GenBank genome assembly